CCUACGGGUGGCAGCAGUGAGGAAUAUUGGGCAAUGGACGAGAGUCUGAACCAGCCAAGUAGCGUGAAGGAUGACGGCCCUAUGGGUGGUAAACUUCAGUGAUAGGGGAAUAAAAUGUUGCACGUGUGGGAUUUUGUAUGUGCCAUAUGAAUAAGGAUCGGAUAACUCCUUCCCAGCAGCCGCGGUAAUACGGAGGAUCCGAGCGUUGUCCGGAUUUAUUGGGGUUAAAGGGCGCGUAGGUGGAUUGUUAAGUCAGUUGUGAAAGUUUGCGGCUCAACCGUGAAAUUGCAGUUGAAACUGGCAGUCUUGAGUACAGUAGAGGUGGGCGGAAUUCCUGGUGUAGCUGU
RNAcentral lists this ribosomal RNA (347 nucleotides) under uncultured bacterium. Its description in RNAcentral is "partial 16S ribosomal RNA". It matches the Rfam family "Bacterial small subunit ribosomal RNA", at positions 338 to 682 of the family's 1533-position model. The record is from RNAcentral.